UGAACGCUGGCGGUAGGCCUAACACAUGCAAGUCGAACGGCAGCACAGUAAGAGCUUGCUCUUACGGGUGGCGAGUGGCGGACGGGUGAGGAAUACAUCGGAAUCUACUUUUUCGUGGGGGAUAACGUAGGGAAACUUACGCUAAUACCGCAUACGACCUACGGGUGAAAGCAGGGGAUCUUCGGACCUUGCGCGAUUGAAUGAGCCGAUGUCGGAUUAGCUAGUUGGCGGGGUAAAGGCCCACCAAGGCGACGAUCCGUAGCUGGUCUGAGAGGAUGAUCAGCCACACUGGAACUGAGACACGGUCCAGACUCCUACGGGAGGCAGCAGUGGGGAAUAUUGGACAAUGGGCGCAAGCCUGAUCCAGCCAUACCGCGUGGGUGAAGAAGGCCUUCGGGUUGUAAAGCCCUUUUGUUGGGAAAGAAAAGCAGCAGGUUAAUACCCCGCUGUUCUGACGGUACCCAAAGAAUAAACACCGGCUAACUUCGUG
RNAcentral lists this ribosomal RNA (490 nucleotides) under uncultured bacterium. RNAcentral describes it as "partial 16S ribosomal RNA". It matches the Rfam family "Bacterial small subunit ribosomal RNA", at positions 30 to 507 of the family's 1533-position model. The record is from RNAcentral.